GAUGAACGCUGGCGGCGUGCCUAAUACAUGCAAGUCGAGCGAACGGACGAGAAGCUUGCUUCUCUGAUGUUAGCGGCGGACGGGUGAGUAACACGUGGAUAACCUACCUAUAAGACUGGGAUAACUUCGGGAAACCGGAGCUAAUACCGGAUAAUAUCUUGAACCGCAUGGUUCAAAAGUGAAAGACGGUCUUGCUGUCACUUAUAGCUGGAUCCGCGCUGCAUUAGCUAGUUGGUAAGGUAACGGCUUACCAAGGCAACGAUGCAUAGCCGACCUGAGAGGGUGAUCGGCCACACUGGAACUGAGACACGGUCCAGACUCCUACGGGAGGCAGCAGUAGGGAAUCUUCCGCAAUGGGCGAAAGCCUGACGGAGCAACGCCGCGUGAGUGAUGAAGGUCUUCGGAUCGUAAAGCUCUGUUAUUAGGGAAGAACAUAUGUGGAAGUAAAUGAGCACAGCUUGACGGUACCUAAUCAAAAAGCCACGGCUAACUACGUG
Molecule: ribosomal RNA, 497 nt
Filed under: uncultured bacterium
Lineage: Bacteria
Description: partial 16S ribosomal RNA
Rfam family: Bacterial small subunit ribosomal RNA
Source: RNAcentral